This is a small nucleolar RNA of Grammomys surdaster, 131 nucleotides long. RefSeq annotates it as small nucleolar RNA SNORA17. Lineage: Eukaryota; Metazoa; Chordata; Mammalia; Rodentia; Muridae. The record is from RefSeq and is a predicted model, not a curated record. The transcript has a single exon.
UCUGGCCUCGAGGCUUUGCAGGUAUGGUUUCUGUGUCAUAUGUGCAUCAGUAGAUGGUAGAGUGGACAGAGACUAUGUCUGCAUUCAAUAUUCUGACUUGUGAACACAUUAAUGAUUAGUAGCCUAACAUU